GUGGCAGCCGCCGCGGUAAUACGUAGGGUGCGAGCGUUAAUCGGAAUUACUGGGCGUAAAGCGUGCGCAGGUGGUUUUGUAAGUCAGAUGUGAAAUCCCCGGGCUUAACCUGGGAACUGCGUUUGAAACUGCAAGGCUAGAGUGUGGCAGAGGGGGGUGGAAUUCCGCGUGUAGCAGUGAAAUGCGUAGAGAUGUGGAGGAACACCGAUGGCGAAGGCAGCCCCCUGGGUCAGCACUGACGCUCAGGCACGAAAGCAUGGGGAGCAAACAGGAUUAGAUACCCUGGUAGUCCAUGCCCUAAACGAUGUCAACUAGUUGUCGGGUCUUAACGGGCUUGGUAACGUAGCUAACGCGUGAAGUUGACCGCCUGGGGAGUACGAUCGCAAGAUUAAAACUCAAAGGAAUUGACGGGGACCCGCACAAGCGGUGGAUUAUGUGGAUUAAUUCGAUGCAACGCGAAAAACCUUACCUACCCUUGACAUGUAUCGAAGCCCGCGGAGAUGUGGGUGUGCCCGAAAGGGAACGAUAACACAGGUGCUGCAUGGCUGUCGUCAGCUCGUGUCGUGAGAUGUUGGGUUAAGUCCCGCAACGAGCGCAACCCUUGUCAUUAAUUGCCAUCAUUUAGUUGGGCACUUUAAUGAGACUGCCGGUGACAAACCGGAGGAAGGUGGGGAUGACGUCAAGUCCUCAUGGCCCUUAUGGGUAGGGCUUCACACGUAAUACAAUGGCGCGUACAGAGGGUUGCCAACCCGCGAGGGGGAGCCAAUCUCAGAAAGCGUGUCGUAGUCCGGAUCGGAGUCUGCAACUCGACUCCGUGAAGUCGGAAUCGCUAGUAAUCGCGGAUCAGCAUGUCGCGGUGAAUACGUUCCCGGGUCUUGCACACACUGCCCGUC
Molecule: ribosomal RNA, 893 nt
Filed under: uncultured bacterium
Lineage: Bacteria
Description: bacterial SSU rRNA
Rfam family: Bacterial small subunit ribosomal RNA
Source: RNAcentral